This 483-nucleotide ribosomal RNA is filed under the name uncultured bacterium. RNAcentral's name for it is "partial 16S ribosomal RNA". It matches the Rfam family "Bacterial small subunit ribosomal RNA", at positions 28 to 507 of the family's 1533-position model. The record is from RNAcentral.
GACGAACGCUGGCGGCGUGCUUAACACAUGCAAGUCGAACGCUGAAGCUCAGCUUUUGUUGGGUGGAUGAGUGGCGAACGGGUGAGUAACACGUGAGUAACCUGCCCCCUUCUUUGGGAUAACGCCCGGAAACGGGUGCUAAUACUGGAUAUUCACUGGUCUUCGCAUGGGGGUUGGUGGAAAGGGUUUUUCUGGUGGGGGAUGGGCUCGCAGCCUAUCAGCUUGUUGGUGGGGUGAUGGCCUACCAAGGCUUUGACGGGUAGCCGGCCUGAGAGGGUGACCGGUCACAUUGGGACUGAGAUACGGCCCAGACUCCUACGGGAGGCAGCAGUGGGGAAGAUUGCACAAUGGGCGCAAGCCUGAUGCAGCGACGCCGCGUGAGGGAUGGAGGCCUUCGGGUUGUGAACCUCUUUCGCUCAUGGUCAAGCCGCAACAAUGGUUGUGGUGAGGGUAGUGGGUAAAGAAGCGCCGGCUAACUACGUG